Molecule: ribosomal RNA, 796 nt
Filed under: uncultured bacterium
Lineage: Bacteria
Description: bacterial SSU rRNA
Rfam family: Bacterial small subunit ribosomal RNA
Source: RNAcentral
AUUGAACGCUGGCGGAAUGCUUUACACAUGCAAGUCGGACGGCAGCGCGGACUUCGGUCUGGCGGCGAGUGGCGAACGGGUGAGUAAUGUGUCGGAACGUGCCAAGUAAUGGGGGAUAACGCAGCGAAAGCUGUGCUAAUACCGCAUACGCUCUGAGGAGGAAAGCGGGGGACCUUCGGGCCUCGCGUUAUUUGAGCGGCCGACAUCUGAUUAGCUAGUUGGCGGGGUAAAGGCCCACCAAGGCGACGAUCAGUAGCGGGUCUGAGAGGAUGAUCCGCCACACUGGGACUGAGACACGGCCCAGACUCCUACGGGAGGCAGCAGUGGGGAAUUUUGGACAAUGGGGGCAACCCUGAUCCAGCCAUUCCGCGUGUCUGAAGAAGGCCUUCGGGUUGUAAAGGACUUUUGUCCGGGAGCAAAGCCUGCUGGUUAAUAACCGGCGGGGAUGAGAGUACCGGAAGAAUAAGCACCGGCUAACUACGUGCCAGCAGCCGCGGUAAUACGUAGGGUGCGAGCGUUAAUCGGAAUUACUGGGCGUAAAGCGUGCGCAGGCGGUAUUGCAAGUCUGAUGUGAAAGCCCCGGGCUUACCCUGGGACGGCAUUGGAAACUGCAAAACUAGAGUACGUCACAGGGGGGUAGAAUUCCACGUGUACCAAUGAAAUGCGUAAAGAUGUGGAGGAAUACCGAUGGCGAGGCAGCCCCCCUGGGAUGAUCUGACGCUCUGCACGAAGCGUGGGGAGGCAACAGAUAAAUACCCUGGUAUCCACGCCCUAACGAGUCCAUAGCUGGUGGGGG